RNAcentral lists this ribosomal RNA (784 nucleotides) under uncultured Actinobacillus sp. Its description in RNAcentral is "bacterial SSU rRNA". It matches the Rfam family "Bacterial small subunit ribosomal RNA", at positions 99 to 880 of the family's 1533-position model. Lineage: Bacteria; Pseudomonadati; Pseudomonadota; Gammaproteobacteria; Pasteurellales; Pasteurellaceae. The record is from RNAcentral.
CGGACGGGUGAGUAAUGCUUGGGAAUCUGGCUUAUGGAGGGGGAUAACUACGGGAAACUGUAGCUAAUACCGCGUAAUAUCUUCGGAUUAAAGGGUGGGACUUUCGGGCCACCUGCCAUAAGAUGAGCCCAAGUGGGAUUAGGUAGUUGGUGGGGUAAAGGCCUACCAAGCCGACGAUCUCUAGCUGGUCUGAGAGGAUGACCAGCCACACUGGAACUGAGACACGGUCCAGACUCCUACGGGAGGCAGCAGUGGGGAAUAUUGCACAAUGGGGAGAACCCUGAUGCAGCCAUGCCGCGUGAAUGAAGAAGGCCUUCGGGUUGUAAAGUUCUUUCGGUGAUGAGGAAGGUGUUUGUUUUAAUAGAGCAAGCAAUUGACGUUAGUCACAGAAGAAGCACCGGCUAACUCCGUGCCAGCAGCCGCGGUAAUACGGAGGGUGCGAGCGUUAAUCGGAAUGACUGGGCGUAAAGGGCACGCAGGCGGUGACUUAAGUGAGAUGUGAAAGCCCCGAGCUUAACUUGGGAAUUGCAUUUCAUACUGGGUCGCUAGAGUACUUUAGGGAGGGGUAGAAUUCCACGUGUAGCGGUGAAAUGCGUAGAGAUGUGGAGGAAUACCGAAGGCGAAGGCAGCCCCUUGGGAAUGUACUGACGCUCAUGUGCGAAAGCGUGGGGAGCAAACAGGAUUAGAUACCCUGGUAGUCCACGCUGUAAACGCUGUCGAUUUGGGGAUUGGGCUUUAAGCUUGGUGCCCGUAGCUAACGUGAUAAAUCGACCGCCCUGGGGAG